Molecule: ribosomal RNA, 899 nt
Filed under: uncultured bacterium
Lineage: Bacteria
Description: bacterial SSU rRNA
Rfam family: Bacterial small subunit ribosomal RNA
Source: RNAcentral
GCCGCGGUAAUACGAGGGGGGCUAGCGUUGUCCGGAUUUAUUGGGCGUAAAGAGUUCGUAGGCGGGUCAGUCAGUCAAAAUUGAAAUCCCACGGCUUAACCGUGGACCCGGUUUUGAUACUGCUGAUCUUGAGUGAGACAGAGGUAAGCGGAAUUCCUGGUGUAGCGGUGAAAUGCGUAGAUAUCAGGAGGAACACCGAAGGCGAAGGCAGCUUACUGGGUCUAUACUGACGCUGAGGAACGAAAGCGUGGGGAGCAAACAGGAUUAGAGACCCUGGUAGUCCACGCUGUAAACGAUGAGUACUUGGUGGUGGGGGAUUCGACCCCUUCACUGUCGGAGCUAACGCGUUAAGUACUCCGCCUGGGGACUACGACCGCAAGGUUGAAACUCAAAGGAAUUGACGGGGGACCCGCACAAGCGGUGGAUUAUGUGGUUUAAUUCGAUGCAACGCGAAGAACCUUACCUGGACUUGACAUGUUAGUGACACUUUGGUGAAAGCCAGGGCCUCUGCGAGCUUGCUCAAGGACACUAUCACAGGGUGAUGCAUGGCUGUCGUCAGCUCGUGUCGUGAGAUGUUCGGUUAAGUCCGAUAACGAGCGCAACCCCUAUCCUUAGUUGCCAGCACGUAAUGGUGGGGACUCUAGGGAAACUGCCCGGGAUAACCGGAAGGAAGGUGGGGCCGACGUCAAGUCAGUAUGUCCCUUACGUUCAGGGCUACACACGUAAUACAAUGGGAAGUACAGAGGGUAGCAAAACUGCGAAGUGGAGCCAAUCCCAAAAAACUUCCCCAAGUUCGGAUUGCAGUCUGCAACUCGACUGCAUGAAGCAGGAAUCGCUAGUAAUCGCGCAUCAGCAUGGCGCGGUGAAUACGUUCCCGGGUCUUGCACACACCGCCCGUC